Molecule: long non-coding RNA, 685 nt
Filed under: Equus caballus (horse)
Lineage: Eukaryota; Metazoa; Chordata; Mammalia; Perissodactyla; Equidae
Description: lncRNA (ENSECAG00000059606.1)
Source: RNAcentral
AGGUGCAGGUGAUGGGCUGUGUCUUACAAGAUGAACAAAUUGGAGAGGAGGGGUUGCCGUGGAGAAGAGAACAGAAACUGGAGCUCAAAUAGGAAGUGGUUGCAAUGAUCCUGCUUUUGCAUUUGAAGCCAUCUGUGUUCUUUGAGCAGAACUGCAGUGAAGACAGAUACCUGUUGACUCCUAAAGCCAAUCCCCCCCGAGACAUCUACUUCGCUGUGAAAUGGGUGGAAAUGGCUCAGCUGUCUCAUAAAGGGAGCCAGUAAAGCUCUCAAUAGAGGCAUCUACAGGUUUAUGCUGAUGGCUGCAGACACAGAGCCCUUGGAGGUCUCUCCCAUCUCUUGCCGUGGUUGGAAGAGAAGAGAGCACCUCAAAUAGGACCUGGGAUGGUUAUUGUCUGCUCAGUUAGCAGCAAAGAAGGUUUGCAGCUGAAACCCAGGAUUCAGUCUAUCCUGCAGUCCGCUGGAAGAAUCUUAGUCUAAACCAUGGAUCUCAGUCAAACCUCCUGCUGACUUCCCUGCUUGGAUAAUUGUGCGAUAUAUGUUGUCUUUGUGUCAGCCUGUGUUUUUUUUCAAUUAAUUUUCAUUACUAAAAACUGUAGUCCAGAAUCUGACUUCUUGAUUUUUCUAAAAAAACACAAUUUUCACCCAGCCAUUUUAAACAAUACAAAAAUGCUAGAAGGGGUAUG